UAGCAACAUGCCAAAGACAACGACAGUCAAGGAUGGCAUCUUCUUCCAUACAGUGGUCCAUGCUCUCUGCAAUCCCGGAAGAAGAACAUACCUUAAAAGGCUGAAAUCAGGAGUAAAGAACAUAUCAAAAGGGUUCAGAAAUAGAAAGCAGAAAAUUCAAGAGUCGGUACAAAAACAAAAUAGGUCUUUGUAUCAUAAACUCUGUAUAUCCAAAUCGCUAAGAAGAUCCUCUGCUCUACUACUCCUUCAACUUCAAGGACGCCUCGCAUGCUGCGCCUCUUACUUCUAAUAAACACAUGAACGAAUCAGCAUUUAUGUGUUGAAUAAAAAAGAUCCCCACGAAACAUACCAAAGGGCGAUGUAGUGGGACUCAGAUCCUGCUGCCCCACAGUGUGGAAAAAGGAAGAAAGAAGUUUAUUCUAACACGAUUAUUGGCCCCAAUUUCCUCAACUUUGCGCACAAAUUGUUCGAAGGAGUAAUACGGGAUCAAGUAAGAGUGCCAGUUUAGCGUCAAGCUUGAUAAGAUUGCAAAGGUCCUCCACCUGGCAUCAAGACAAUAAUUCAAAUUUGGAAGGCCAUCAGAAAUCAGAAUAAGUAUAAGUGUGCAGUGAGCAACAUCGGGCUACAGUCUCUACUGUUUAUGAGACCCAAGUUUUAUGAGAAGAAGGCAAAUUAGAACUAUAACACCUGCUUAACAUCCUGAAUAUCAUGUUGCCAACUUGUGAAAUAAAGCUUUUGAACUAACAGUAGCUACGUAGGUACAUCUCCUGGAUGUUGUUGAGACUGAGAUAAUGAUGGUCAUAAAAAAGAGAAGUGAGAACAUUACUUCUUACUUUUUACUCAUAAAGUUUGCAAAGUUUUAAUGACGGGGAGGUACAAACAUAGAGAAGUUGUAUCAUCCAAGAAGGUGCAUGUACGUAAACUUUGCUCACAUGUUCCAAGCAGUAUUGAGUCACACAUCUGGUUCCAAUCCUUAGAACAAUUGGACUGCAAUGCCUGCGGAUUUUCACUUGAUGAGAUUCUGUUUUCUAAGAUUAAAUACAAAAAAUUAACAGACAUUCACCUCCAAUUAAAUCGAUCGGGAGUUGCCUUGGUCUUCAAAUUUAAAAUGUAAAACAUGAAUAUGUAUGUAUGCUGCUUAGACCAAUCUAGUUCAAGGGCUGUUGGUAUGGUUCUUCCUAUUAGGAAAAUUGAACAUAGAGGAGGAAUCUGCAGACUUUAUAUUUCAGCUUGCAUUCUCCUUUUACAUGAAGAUAAAAAAUGAAGUAAAUACUUUUAAGCGAUAAGUGUUACCUUGGAUUUCUACUCGUAAAUCUGGGCGUAUUUCAUGUAGCUAGCAUUUUGAAUGCGUGAGAUUAUAUGUGGCUGUGCCUGCGAGCCUGUCAGUCAGAAUUCAGAAGCCUGGGUCGUGAAAAUGCACUGUUGAUUGGUUGUGUACUAACUGCUGGAGCUAAAAUGGUCAUAGAUCUUCUUGUGCCUUAACUCAUCACAUGCAGUCCUC
RNAcentral lists this long non-coding RNA (1501 nucleotides) under Triticum aestivum (bread wheat). Its description in RNAcentral is "long non-coding RNA (TAES_LNC012217)". Lineage: Eukaryota; Viridiplantae; Streptophyta; Magnoliopsida; Poales; Poaceae. The record is from RNAcentral.